RNAcentral lists this long non-coding RNA (813 nucleotides) under Mytilus galloprovincialis (Mediterranean mussel). Lineage: Eukaryota; Metazoa; Mollusca; Bivalvia; Mytilida; Mytilidae. The record is from RNAcentral.
CUUAAUUUAGCCGACUUGCUCAAACAAUAGAUAAAGUAAGAGAAAGAUUUGAUAAAAUUUAACUUACGGAGGAAAGUUUGGUUUUAAAACACUCUAAUAAAUUCAAUAGAAAUAACAUUUAUUUCAAAUGUAUUCCAUUUAGUUUCUUAUAAAGCGUAUAGGGAUCUUUAUCCUUAUUUUUUUUUAUCCAUUUCCAUGACACUUCACCACUAAUUACGUACAUCUUGAUAUAGAUUGAAUCUUUGUUUUCCCGUUUAAAAGGUUUUACACUGGAGCCAUUUAUAACUUGCUGUUCGGUGUGAGCCAAGACUCCAUGUUGAAGACCGUAUGUUUACGUAUAAUGGUCUACUUUUAUAAAUUGUGACUCGGAUGGAGAGUUGUCUCAUUGUCACAUACGACAUCUAUAUAUGGCUCAAAAACGAAACGAGACGGGAUAAAAAGGUAUAAAAAAAUCCACACUACUUUUUUAAUAUAUAUGUAUAAUGGGCUUAAUAUGAUUCAGAAUAGAGUAAAAUAGUGGGUCGCAUUUGGGUAUAAGCGUGACGCCGGAUUGCCGAUUUUUUGCAAGCGUGACAGGUGAAAGUCAAAUGAUUGUGUCGUGAAAAACGAGAAAUGAAGUCUAGCGGGACACAGGAAUCUGACAAAACAAUAAGCGGAAUACGGGAAUCUGCCAAAACAGUAAGCGGGAUCCGGGAUCAGAACCCCCCCCCCCCCCCCCAAUGAGACCCCCAGAAUAAGAUAUUUGUGUAUAUCAAUCCUAUUGUUACAGUCAUGCCUUCAAUAACAAAUGUAUCCGAUGCAUGCAUUUUUUUU